Molecule: long non-coding RNA, 2015 nt
Organism: Thunnus maccoyii (southern bluefin tuna)
Lineage: Eukaryota; Metazoa; Chordata; Actinopteri; Scombriformes; Scombridae
Exons: 2
Source: RefSeq, a predicted model, not a curated record
AAACACUAGGUGGAGCUACUGUCUUAAACAAGGCAGCGUCUCUUCAAAGCAAGCAAUCAAAGAAAAAAAAUGCUGAGGGUCACCAGAAAUGGCGGACCCGAAGAGACGCAAGAUUGCUAACGAGUGCAGAAAAUUUCAGACUCGGUGGAAAAAUGAAUAUUUUUUUGUAGAAAACAAGGGGAAGUGUGUUUGUUUGAUUUGUAAUGAGAGUGUUGCCGUGAUGAAAGAGUACAAUGUACGAAGGAAUUAUGAAACGAAACAUCAGACCUUCACGUCCUACACUGGCGCUGAGUGGGAAGAGAAGGUGAAGCAAAUGACAGCUAGCCUGCUAACGCAGCAACAGUUUUUUUUCCGUGCUAACAAAGCUCAAGAAAAUGCAACAAUAGCCAGUUAUGAAGUAGCUCAACUCAUUGCCCUACACGGGAAACCUUUCUCAGACGGUGAUUUCAUCUAACAGUGCCUCACUAAAGUCGUGGGAAUAAUGUGCCCGAAGAAAAUGCAGGAUUUCAACAAUGUCAGCAUGCCCAGAAAUACAGUGAAGACUUGUCAAACAACUUAAAACAGCAAGUGUCACAUAAAGCUUGUGUUUUCGAUUUUUACUUGAUUGCGUGUGAUGAGAGCGCAGAUGCCACGGACACUGCACAGUUGAGAGUGCAUGAUACUUUGAGUGGAUGAUACUUUUUGCAUUACGGAGGAACUGCUUGAUCUUCGGAGUCUAAAGAGGACAACAACUGGGAAGGACAUUUUUGAAGCUGUCUCAGAUGCAAUUGACCAGGCUGGACUUCAAUGGGACAAGCUGUGUGGAAUUACAACGGAUGGGGCUCCAGCAAUGACAGGCGAGCGCAAAGGAAUGGCAUCUUUAGUAUGCGCCAAGGUGCGGGAGAGCGGAGGUGAGGCUGUCAAAAUGCACUGCAUCAUCCACCAAGAAGCCCUCUGUGCCAAGACAGUACAGCUUGGCGACGUGAUGAACACAGUUGUGAAAACUGUCAACAUAAUUCGGGCACGAGGGCUUUACCACAGAGAAUUUCAGCAUUCCUCUCUGAUGUCGAUGCUGAAUACGGGGACCUACUCUACCAGUCUGAAGUGUAUUGGCUCAGUCGCGGCUCCGUGCUGCAGCGGUUUUAUUCCCUGAGAUCAAAUAUCGGCAAGUUUUUGAAAGAAAAGGGCAGACCUCUGCAUGAGCUCAGUGACCCUUUAUGGUUGGCAGACCUGGCUUUUUUAGUUUAUCUCACUGAUCAUCUCAACACCCUGAACAAGAGACUACAAGGCAAAGAGCAGCUGGUACCACAGCUGUAUGCACACAUGAAAGCAUUCCGUGCGAAGCUCCGUCUCUCCGAGUCACAACUGCACAACUUUAAUGUAGCGCACUUCCCAACACUGACUGAAAUCAAAUGCGCAUUUCCAAAUGCUAAGCUCUCUGCUAAAAUGGGAGAAUAUGUGUCUGUGAUCACAUCUCUCAUUACAGAAGUCACUCAGCGCUUUCAAGAUUUUUCUGUCAUUGAGAAGGAAAUCACACUGUUUGUGGCUCCGUUUUCGGUGGAUGCAGAAGAAGUGGAGGAGAGUCUGCAAUUAGAACUGAUCGAAAUGCAGUGUGAUGAUUCUCUGAAGAAUCAACAUCAGCUUCUCUCCCUACCUGACUUCUACCGGAGCUUGGAAAAGGCCAAGUUUCCUCUGAUAAGAUGCCACGCAAAACAAAUGAUGAGUCUGUUCGGCUCAACAUACAUCUGUGAGCAGACAUUCUCGCUGUUAACGCUGAUCAAAAGCAGAUUGAGAACCAGAAUGACCGACAGCCUUCUCCGUGACAUCCUUCACAUCUCAACCACCAAACUUACUCCUGACGUGCCAGCUCUCCUUCAGACCAAAGCGCAGCAUCACUGCUCCCACUGAGCGCAACAUUCUUCCCAUUACAGGACAAUGAAGGGGGAUCAGCACCCUAAGAAACAAUCUGAGGCUGUCACUGAGAGAAUGACCUGCCAACCUUUUUAUAAAAAAUAAAAUGAAAAUCUACUAAUGGA